CUCCAUCUCCGCCAACUAAACCCUAGUUUUUUCAUCUGAAUCUUGCUCGAAGAGGCCGGCGGCAGCCUUGGCUGUCGGCCUCCUCCACUUGUUAGUUGUAGCUUGCCUCAACCAUAUCCACCAUGUUUCAGAAUCACUGUCUCCUCCUUCUUGUCUCUAGGUUCUGGAUUUUUGUCACUACAAAUCUAAUCGGAAGUUUGGUGAGUGCCUCUCUUCCCUGGAACCUAGUCGAGGUCGAGACGGUCUCGUGAAUCAUGGUGGCCUUGCCUUUCCGCCUCUCCAAACCGCCAGCGUUAGAUCUGGGUCAGAUCUAAGCCCAAGCCAUCGUGAAUAGUUUGGAAGCGUCGCUGCCUCUCCUCUCAUCACGUCCGACUUGCCUCCUGGUGGUAUGUCAGUCGCGUAGAUCCAAGGUGCGUAGAGCCUCUCCUCAGGAUUUGUUCCUCUGAGAGCGGCGGAGUGGUGGUUCUCCGCUGAGAGCCUCUUCUCUUAGCUUCAAGUAUCAGCUUCCAUGGUAAUAUCUGUUGUUGCUCUGUUUCUCUCUGUUGUGCUUUGAUGGUUGAUGCUCAGGGUCCUUGAGGACA
RNAcentral lists this long non-coding RNA (581 nucleotides) under Brassica napus (rape). RNAcentral describes it as "long non-coding RNA (BNAP_LNC002201)". Lineage: Eukaryota; Viridiplantae; Streptophyta; Magnoliopsida; Brassicales; Brassicaceae. The record is from RNAcentral.